Molecule: microRNA, 21 nt
Filed under: Drosophila virilis
Lineage: Eukaryota; Metazoa; Arthropoda; Insecta; Diptera; Drosophilidae
Description: dvi-miR-9549-3p
Source: miRBase by way of RNAcentral
AAGGACCUCUGCUAAGACUAU